RNAcentral lists this ribosomal RNA (405 nucleotides) under uncultured bacterium. RNAcentral describes it as "partial 16S ribosomal RNA". It matches the Rfam family "Bacterial small subunit ribosomal RNA", at positions 30 to 526 of the family's 1533-position model. The record is from RNAcentral.
AUUGAACGCUAGCGGGAUGCUUUACACAUGCAAGUCGAACGAGUGGCGGACGGGUGAGUAAUAUACCGGAAAGUGCCCAGUAGCGGGGGAUAACUACUCGACAGAGUGGCUAAUACCGCAUAUUAUUGAAGCGGCCGAUAUGGGAUUAGCUAGUUGGUGUGGUAAAGUCUAACCAAGGCAACGAUCCGUAGCUGGUUUGAGAGGACGAACAGCCACACCGUGACUGAGACACGGCCCAGACUCCUACGGGAGGCAGCAGUGGGGAAUUUUGGACAAUGGGCGAAACCCUGACCCAGCCAUCCCGCGUGUAUGAGAAGGCCUUCGGGUUGUAAAGUACUUUUGGCAGAGAAGCGGUAUCUGCAGAAUAAGCACCGGCUAACUACGUGCCAGCAGCCGCGGUAAUUC